This 492-nucleotide ribosomal RNA is filed under the name uncultured bacterium. RNAcentral's name for it is "partial 16S ribosomal RNA". It matches the Rfam family "Bacterial small subunit ribosomal RNA", at positions 29 to 507 of the family's 1533-position model. The record is from RNAcentral.
AGUGAACGCUGGCGGUAGGCCUAACACAUGCAAGUCGAACGGCAGCACAGUAAGAGCCUGCUCUUACGGGUGGCGAGUGGCGGACGGGUGAGGAAUACAUCGGAAUCUACUUUUUCGUGGGGGAUAACGUAGGGAAACUUACGCUAAUACCGCAUACGACCUACGGGUGAAAGCAGGGGAUCUUCGGACCUUGCGCGAUUGAAUGAGCCGAUGUCGGAUUAGCCAGUUGGCGGGGUAAAGGCCCACCAAGGCGACGAUCCGUAGCUGGUCUGAGAGGAUGAUCAGCCACACUGGAACUGAGACACGGUCCAGACUCCUACGGGAGGCAGCAGUGGGGAAUAUUGGACAAUGGGCGCAAGCCUGAUCCAGCCAUACCGCGUGGGUGAAGAAGGCCUUCGGGUUGUAAAGCCCUUUUGUUGGGAAAGAAAAGCAGCAGGUUAAUACCCCGCUGUUCUGACGGUACCCAAAGAAUAAGCACCGGCUAACUUCGUG